This 253-nucleotide ribosomal RNA is filed under the name uncultured bacterium. RNAcentral describes it as "partial 16S ribosomal RNA". It matches the Rfam family "Bacterial small subunit ribosomal RNA", at positions 524 to 776 of the family's 1533-position model. The record is from RNAcentral.
UCCGGAGGAGGCAAGCGUUAUCCGGAAUUAUUGGGCGUAAAGCGUCCGUAGGUGGUUGGCCAAGUCUGCUGUCAAAGGGUGGGGCUUAACCUCAGAAGGGCAGUGGAAACUGGUGAGCUAGAGUGCGGUAGGGGUAAGGGGAAUUCCCAGUGUAGCGGUGAAAUGCGUAGAGAUUGGGAAGAACAUCGGUGGCGAAAGCGCCUUGCUGGGCCUGCACUGACACUGAGGGACGAAAGCUAGGGGAGCGAAAGGG